This 489-nucleotide ribosomal RNA is filed under the name uncultured bacterium. Its description in RNAcentral is "bacterial SSU rRNA". It matches the Rfam family "Bacterial small subunit ribosomal RNA", at positions 30 to 509 of the family's 1533-position model. The record is from RNAcentral.
AUUGAACGCUGGCGGCGUGUCUUAAGCAUGCAAGUUGAGCGGCAAGGAGGAGAGAUCCUCCCUAGAGCGGCGGACUGGUGAGUAACGCGUGGGUAAUCUAUCGUAGGCAUGGGGAUAGUCACUAGAAAUAGUGGGUAAUACCGAAUACGUUCCAUGAGGGGAGUAUUCAUGGAAGAAAGGGUGCUACGGCACUGGCCUUAGGUGAGCUCGCGUCCCAUUAGCUAGUUGGUGAGGUAAAGGCCCACCAAGGCGAUGAUGGGUAGCCGGCCUGAGAGGGUGUACGGCCACACUGGGACUGAGAUACGGCCCAGACUCCUACGGGAGCAGCAGCUAAGAAUAUUCCGCAAUGGACGAAAGUCUGACGGAGCGACGCCGCGUGGAUGAAGAAGGCCGAAAGGUUGUAAAGUUCUUUUGCUAGGGAGAAUAAGUGAGGGAGGAAUGCCUCAUGAUGACAAGGACUAGCGAAUAAGCCCCGGCCAACUACGUGCC